This 253-nucleotide ribosomal RNA is filed under the name uncultured bacterium. RNAcentral describes it as "partial 16S ribosomal RNA". It matches the Rfam family "Bacterial small subunit ribosomal RNA", at positions 524 to 776 of the family's 1533-position model. The record is from RNAcentral.
UACGAAGGGGGCUAGCGUUGCUCGGAAUCACUGGGCGUAAAGGGCGCGUAGGCGGCUGAUUUAGUCGAGGGUGAAAGCCCGUGGCUCAACCACGGAAUGGCCUUCGAUACUGAUUGGCUUGAGACCGGAAGAGGACAGCGGAACUGCGAGUGUAGAGGUGAAAUUCGUAGAUAUUCGCAAGAACACCAGUGGCGAAGGCGGCUGUCUGGUCCGGUUCUGACGCUGAGGCGCCAAAGCGUGGGGAGCAAACAGG